Molecule: ribosomal RNA, 2900 nt
Filed under: Candidatus Hennigella equi
Lineage: Bacteria; Bacillati; Mycoplasmatota; Mycoplasmoidales; Mycoplasmoidaceae
Description: 23S ribosomal RNA
Rfam family: Bacterial large subunit ribosomal RNA
Source: RNAcentral
UAUAAAGUUAUGAAGAGUUUAUGGUGGAUGCCUAGGGACUGAAUGGCGAUGAAGGUCGUACUAGUCUGCGAAAAGCCACGGGAAGCUGACAAGAAGCUCCAAUCCGUGGAUGACCGAAUCAGGAAACUGCUUUAACAGUGAUGUUAAAGAUCCUGUAAUGAAUUCAUAGUUACAGGAGGCAAUACGUAGUGAAGUGAAACAUCUCAGUAGCUACAGGAAAAGAAAACGAAGCGAUUCCCUCAGUAGUGGCGAGCGAAAGGGGAAAAGGCCAAACCAACUUCGAGUUGGGGUUUUGGGCUCCAUUUAAGAUGUGUAAGGAUAGUAGAAGCUGUUGGAAAGCAGCGUCAUAGAGGGUGAUAACCCCGUAUACGAAAUUUAAGCACACUGAGGAGUACCCAGAGUAGAACGGGACACGUGAAAUCUUGUUUGAAGACACCGGGACCAUCCGGAAAGCCUAAAUACAAAUCAGUCACCGAUAGCGAAACAGUACCGUGAGGGAAAGGUGAAAAGAACCCAGAGAUGGGAGUGAAAUAGAAUCUGAAACCAUAAACUUACAAGGAGUCAGAGCACAUUAAUGUGUGAUGGCGUGCGUUUUGAAGUAUGAGCCGGCGAGUUAUUGUUGCAUGCAAGGUUAAGCUGUAGAAGUGGAGCCGUAGCGAAAGCGAGUCUUAAUAGGGCGUCUAGUAUGUAGCAAUAGACCCGAAACGGGUUGAUCUAUUCAUGGGCAGGUUGAAGUGUGAGUAACAUCACAUGGAGGACCGAACCCACUUUCGUUGAAACGACAGGGGAUGACCUGUGAAUAGUGGAGAAAUUCCAAUCGAAAUCCGUGAUAGCUGGUUCUCGUCGAUAUAAUUUUAGGAUUAGCGUUAGUUGUUUAUGUAUGGAGGUAAAGCUCUGAAUACCUGAUGGCACCGCCUUGGUGUACUGAAUGUAAUUAAACUCUGAAUGCCAUACAACAGAAACUAGCAGUCAGACUGUGGGGGAUAAGCUUCAUAGUCGUGAGGGAAAGAGCCCAGAUCAUUAGCUAAGGUCCCUAAUAUAUGUUAAGUGGAAAACGAUGUUGAAUGUCUUAAACACCAAGGAUGUUGGCUUAGAAGCAGCCACCGUUUAAAGAGUGCGUAACAGCUCACUUGCCGAGACAUUCUGCGCGGAAGAUUUAACGGGGCUAAACAUAUAACCGAAGCUAUGGGAUAGAUUUAUCUAUCGGUAGACGAGUGUUGUAUAUGGGUUGAAGGUAGAGUGUGAACACUACUGGACUGUAUACAAGUAAGAAUGCCGGCGUGAGUAACGAAUGAAAGUGAGAAUCUUUCAAGCCGAAUUGACUAAGAUUUCCAGGACGAGGUUCGUCCAUCCUGGGUUAGUCGGAACCUAAGCUGAGGCCUACAGGCGUAAGCGAUGGCAAAAAUGUUAAUAUUCAUUUACUAAAAGUAAUGUCGAAGGAAUGACGAAGAAGGUUAAUGCAGGCAGAUUAUUGGAUUUCUGCUUAAGUAUCAAGUUUUGUAAGUUGGCAAAUCCGCUUACUAUAAGAAUAAGAUACGAACACGAGCGAACGUUUCGACAAUUAGCGAAGCUGCAAACAUCACACUUCCAAGAAAAAUUUCGUAGAAUUAUCAUUAUUUUUAUCCGUAUUGAGAACGAACACACGUGGUCAAGGAGAAUAUCCUAAGGCUAGCGAGAAAACUAUUGUUAAGGAACUCUGCAAAAUGACCCCGUAAGUUAGCGAAAAGGGGUGCCUACGUAAGUAGGCCACAGUAAAGAGCGAGGGGGGACUGUUUAUCAAAAACACAGCUUUAUGCUAAGUCGUAAGACGAUGUAUAUGAGGUGACACCUGCCCAGUGCCGGAAGGUCAAGGAAGGGAGUUAGGCGCAAGCCAAAGCUUCUGACUUAAGCCCUGGUGAACGGCGGCCGUAACUAUAACGGUCCUAAGGUAGCGAAAUUCCUUGUCGGGUAAAUUCCGUCCCGCUUGAAUGGUGUAACCAUCUCUUGACUGUCUCGACAAUAGACUCGGUGAAAUCCUGAUAUGAGUGAAGACACUCAUUUGGCGUGAUUGGACGGAAAGACCCCAUGAAGCUUUACUGUAACUUGGUAUUGAAAAGUUAUUUCGUUUUUAGAGCAUAGGUGGGAGACUUUGAGACAUUGCCGCUAGGUGAUGUGGAGUCGACCAGUGUAAUACCACCAUUAUGAAAUAAUUUUUCUAACCCAUGGCUGUCAUCCAGCCAGGGGACAGUGCUAGGCGGGCAGUUUGACUGGGGCGGUCGCCUCCCAAAAUGUAACGGAGGCGCGCAACGGUACCCUCAGCACGGUUGGAAAUCGUGCCUCGAGCGUAAUGGUAUAAGGGUGCUUGACUGUGAGACUUACAAGUCGAACAGGUAAGAAAUUAGGUCAUAGUGAUCCGGUGGUUCUGUAUGGAAAGGCCAUCGCUCAACGGAUAAAAGCUACUCUGGGGAUAACAGGCUGAUACUGCCCAAGAGUUCAUAUCGACGGCAGUGUUUGGCACCUCGAUGUCGACUCAUCUUAUCCUGGGGCUGUAGCAGGUUCCAAGGGUUCGGCUGUUCGCCGAUUAAAAAGAUACGUGAGUUGGGUUCAAACCGUCGUGAGACAGGUUGGUCCCUAUCUGUCAUGCCCGUAGGAAGAUUGAAGAAAUUUGCUCCUAGUACGAGAGGAUCGGAGUGAAGUUACCUCUAAUGCUCCAGUUGUCACGCCAGUGGCACAGCUGGGUAGUUACGUAGCGACUAGAUAAACGCUGAAAGCAUAUAAGCGUGAAACUAAUUCUAAGAUUAAUCUUCCCCACCCGCAAGGGUGAUAAGAAUCGUUGUAGACUACAACGUUGAUAGGUUAAAGGUGUAAGUGUAGUAAUACAUUAAGCUGAUUAAUACUAAUAAUUCGAAAGACUUUGUUAA